UACAGAGGGUGCAAACGUUGUUCGGAAUUACUGGGCGUAAAGCGUGUGUAGGCGGUCCACUAAGUCGGGUGUGAAAGCCCUGGGCUCGACCCAGGAAGUGCACUCGAAACUGGAGGGCUAGAGUAUCGGAGAGGUUGGUGGAAUUCUCGGUGUAGAGGUGAAAUUCGUAGAUAUCGAGAGGAACACCGGUGGCGAAGGCGGCCAACUGGACGAAUACUGGCGCUGAGACACGAAAGCGUGGGGAGCAAACAGG
This 253-nucleotide ribosomal RNA is filed under the name uncultured bacterium. Its description in RNAcentral is "partial 16S ribosomal RNA". It matches the Rfam family "Bacterial small subunit ribosomal RNA", at positions 524 to 776 of the family's 1533-position model. The record is from RNAcentral.